AACAGGAUUAGAUACCCUGGUAGUCCACGCCGUAAACGAUGUCGACUUGGAGGUUGUGCCCUUGAGGCGUGGCUUCCGGAACUAACGCGUUAAGUCGACCGCCUGGGGAGUACGGCCGCAAGGUUAAAACCCAAAUGAAUUGACGGGGGCCCGCACAAGCGGUGGAGCAUGUGGUUUAAUUCGAUGCAACGCGAAGAACCUUACCUACUCUUGACAUCCAGAGAACUUAGCAGAGAUGCUUUGGUGCCUUCGGGAACUCUGAGACAGGUGCCGCAUGGCUGUCGUCAGCUCGUGUUGUGAAAUGUUGGGUUAAGUCCCGCAACGAGCGCAACCCUUAUCCUUUGUUGCCAGCGGUUAGGCCGGGAACUCAAAGGAGACUGCCAGUGAUAAACUGGAGGAAGGUGGGGAUGACGUCAAGUCAUCAUGGCCCUUACGAGUAGGGCUACACACGUGCUACAAUGGCAUAUACAAAGAGAAGCGACCUCGCGAGAGCAAGCGGACCUCAUAAAGUAUGUCGUAGUCCGGAUUGGAGUCUGCAACUCGACUCCAUGAAGUCGGAAUCGCUAGUAAUCGUGGAUCAGAAUGCCACGGUGAAUACGUUCCCGGGCCUUGUACACACCGCCCGUCACACCAUGGGAGUGGGUUGCAAAAGAAGUAGGUAGCUUAACCUUCGGGAGGGCGCUUACCACUUUGUGAUUCAUGACUGGGGUGAAGUCGUAACAAGGUAACC
This 730-nucleotide ribosomal RNA is filed under the name uncultured bacterium. Its description in RNAcentral is "bacterial SSU rRNA". It matches the Rfam family "Bacterial small subunit ribosomal RNA", at positions 771 to 1501 of the family's 1533-position model. The record is from RNAcentral.